RNAcentral lists this long non-coding RNA (260 nucleotides) under Phoenix dactylifera (date palm). RNAcentral's name for it is "long non-coding RNA (PDAC_LNC018477)". Lineage: Eukaryota; Viridiplantae; Streptophyta; Magnoliopsida; Arecales; Arecaceae. The record is from RNAcentral.
CAAAGUGAUCCACCAUCCGACAUAUAGAUAAAACCACCAUUCAGCAUCCACCAAAACCUUGAACAAACGUUUAAGACAAGCCAGUCAAAGCCAUCCAAGAGAGAGAGAGAGAGAGAGAGAAAGUUGCAAACUUCAUAUACAAUCAACGUUCAAAAUACAAUCUUUGAAUGAAUAGAAGCCACCCAAGAAGGCAUAAAUCGGAAAAAAUCGCUUUUUUUUUUGGAAAACCCACAGGUGAGGAGAAGAACGAACAAAUCCAA